GAUGAAGAACGUAGCGAAAUGCGAUACGUAGUGUGAAUUGCAGAAUUCAGUGAAUCAUCGAAUCUUUGAACGCACAUUGCGCCCGCCAGUAUUCUGGCGGGCAUGCCUGUCCGAGCGUCAUUUCAACCAUCAAGCCCCGGGCUUGUGUUGGGGACCUGCGUCCGACGCAGGCCCUGAAAACCAGUGGCGGGCUCGCUGUCCACACCGAGCGUAGUAACUAACCUCGCUAUGGAGUGGCGCGGGCGCCUGCCGUAAAACCCCCAAUUUCACAAGGUUGACCUCGGAUCAGGUAGGAAUACCCGCUGAACUUAAGCAUAUCAAUAAGCGGAGGA
This 332-nucleotide unclassified non-coding RNA is filed under the name soil metagenome. Its description in RNAcentral is "partial contains 5.8S ribosomal RNA, internal transcribed spacer 2, and large subunit ribosomal RNA". The stretch from base 1 to 120 matches the Rfam family "5.8S ribosomal RNA", at positions 35 to 154 of the family's 154-position model. The record is from RNAcentral.